This 460-nucleotide ribosomal RNA is filed under the name uncultured bacterium. RNAcentral describes it as "bacterial SSU rRNA". It matches the Rfam family "Bacterial small subunit ribosomal RNA", at positions 28 to 416 of the family's 1533-position model. The record is from RNAcentral.
GAUGAACGCUGGCGGCGUGCCUAAUACAUGCAAGUCGAGCGGUAAGGUUCUGCACUUAGUAUUUAACCUGGGAAAGUCUAUGCAAAUAGAUACUACCCCGAAGAUUGAAACUCCAAGGCUGGAGAAUCAAGUUGAAUCCUGGGUGUAGAAUACACGAGCGGCGGACGGCUGAGUAACACGUAGGAACGUACCCCAAAGUGAGGGAUAAGCACCAGAAAUGGUGUCUAAUACCGCAUGUGAUCUUCGGAUUAAAGCUCCGGCGCUUUGGGAACGGCCUGCGCAUGAUUAGCUUGUUGGUGAGGUAAUGGCUCACCAAGGCGAUGAUCAUUAGCUGGUCUGAGAGGAUGAUCAGCCAGACUGGGACUGAGAACCGGCCCAGACUCCUACGGGAGGCAGCAGUAGGGAAUUUUCCACAUGGGCGAAAGCCUGAUGGAGCAACGCCGCGUGCAGGAUGAAGGCU